UUCCCCUUGACUUAGUUGGUAGAGCGUGGUGUUUGCAACGCCAGGGUUGUGGGUUUGAUUCCCACGGGGGACC
RNAcentral lists this transfer RNA (73 nucleotides) under Salmo salar (Atlantic salmon). It matches the Rfam family "tRNA". From Rfam's summary of the family: Transfer RNA (tRNA) molecules are approximately 80 nucleotides in length. Their secondary structure includes four short double-helical elements and three loops (D, anti-codon, and T loops). Further hydrogen bonds mediate the characteristic L-shaped molecular structure. tRNAs have two regions of fundamental functional importance: the anti-codon, which is responsible for specific mRNA codon recognition, and the 3' end, to which the tRNAs corresponding amino acid is attached (by aminoacyl-tRNA synthetases). tRNAs cope with the degeneracy of the genetic code in two manners: having more than one tRNA (with a specific anti-codon) for a particular amino acid; and 'wobble' base-pairing, i.e. permitting non-standard base-pairing at the 3rd anti-codon position. Lineage: Eukaryota; Metazoa; Chordata; Actinopteri; Salmoniformes; Salmonidae. The record is from Rfam by way of RNAcentral.